RNAcentral lists this ribosomal RNA (491 nucleotides) under uncultured bacterium. RNAcentral describes it as "partial 16S ribosomal RNA". It matches the Rfam family "Bacterial small subunit ribosomal RNA", at positions 28 to 507 of the family's 1533-position model. The record is from RNAcentral.
GAUGAACGCUGGCUACAGGCUUAACACAUGCAAGUCGAGGGGAAACGACGGGGAAGCUUGCUUCCCCGGGCGUCGACCGGCGCACGGGUGAGUAACGCGUAUCCAACCUGCCUCUGACUGAGGGAUAACCCGUCGAAAGUUGGCCUAAUACCUCAUGGCAUCGUCUGCGGGCAUCCAACGACGAUUAAAGAUUUCAUCGGUCAGGGAUGGGGAUGCGUCUGAUUAGCUUGUUGGCGGGGUAACGGCCCACCAAGGCUACGAUCAGUAGGGGUUCUGAGAGGAAGGUCCCCCACAUUGGAACUGAGACACGGUCCAAACUCCUACGGGAGGCAGCAGUGAGGAAUAUUGGUCAAUGGGCGGGAGCCUGAACCAGCCAAGUAGCGUGCAGGAUGACGGCCCUAUGGGUUGUAAACUGCUUUUAUGCGGGGAUAAAGUGAGGGACGUGUCCUUCAUUGCAGGUACCGCAUGAAUAAGGACCGGCUAAUUCCGUG